GAAAUGCGAUAAGUAGUGUGAAUUGCAGAAUUCAGUGAAUCAUCGAAUCUUUGAACGCACAUUGCGCCUUCCGGUAUUCCGGGAGGCAUGCCUGUCCGAACGUCAUCAAGCCCCUCGCCCGCAGCCGUUGCCUGCAACGGAAGCCCUGGGCGGUGCCUGGCUGAUGGGCGCCCUUACCGGCACCCACAGCCGAAAUGCAUUGGCAGAUCCUCCUAGACUGUGAUUGUGAUAAGAAUCUUACCUGCAAUCGCCAGACUGAGAGAGGUUUCGCCGCAAGCAGUCGUGACUCUCCCUCCACGGGGACGAUAGACUAUUUACCACAUCUUUUGACUUCGGAUCAGGUAGGGAUACCCGCUGAACUUAA
Molecule: unclassified non-coding RNA, 364 nt
Filed under: uncultured Pezizales
Lineage: Eukaryota; Fungi; Ascomycota; Pezizomycetes; Pezizales
Description: sequence contains ITS1
Rfam family: 5.8S ribosomal RNA (bases 1-105)
Source: RNAcentral